RNAcentral lists this ribosomal RNA (120 nucleotides) under Thermochaetoides thermophila DSM 1495. The record is from RNAcentral. Lineage: Eukaryota; Fungi; Ascomycota; Sordariomycetes; Sordariales; Chaetomiaceae.
ACAUACGACCAUAUCCACUGGAAAGUACGGGAUCCCGUCCGCUCUCCCUUAGUCAAACCAGUGAGGGCCGAGCUAGUAGUUGGGCCGGUGACGACCAGCGAAUCUUCAGCGUUGUAUGUU